ACGUGUGCGGAGCGCGCCGUCCACGCGCGGGGCCGCCCGACGUCGGGGCAGGGGCCCGGGAAGCGCCGGAAAGCGCGCUGUCCCGGAGAACCCGGUUCCUGUCCGCCUACCUGCGGUGUUCCCGGCCCGUUUUGCAGACGUGGAGGUGGCGAAGGUACCAAAAUAUCAAGCCUCCGUUUCCCAGGACCUGAGAGGGAGAUGGGACGAAUCCUAAGGCCUAGAAAAACAAUUCAGUCAUUCAACAGUUUCUGAGAGCAAGAAACAAAGUGUGCUAUAUGCUCAGCACUCUUCACUGUACUGAUGAAGUGGGACAUUUAAAUGUAAACAGGAUAUUGCUCCAGAAUCUGGGACCUUCUGUAAACACCAGGAACUGUUCUCCCUCAAGAUGGGACAAUGAGGGACGUGUGGGAAAGACCCUUUGGAUGGAGCAGGGUGGGGCCAGGCUCACUUGAAGAGGAAUACAAGAGCCCACCUGCAAGGUAAGAAGAACUUUUUAUUUGAAAUAUAGUCUGAGCAACAUGAGUGUAGCCAAAAGGAGGAGGGGCUGGCCUGCCUGGGGCAGCAGCCUCUCGAAUGGCACAGGAGCAAGAACACAGAUAUCCCAACGUCUGUGUGCCCCAAACCCCACUUGUCAGGAAAGCAGGCCAGCCGCAGGACAAGGACACACACUCCCUUGGAAGGGUCUGCCUCUCGAUGCCUGCCUGCCUGCUCUCCCAGGUUCCACACACAGGUGUGCUGCAGGCGUUCCCCCUCCCUCCACCUCCCCCAGACAGGAGGAGCCAGUGUGACAAUCAAUUCUCCAGGAUAUCUGGGGGGAAAGACUCAGAGAAGACAGGGAGGAAGGGCAAGGUGACCAAGGCCCUUGCCAGGCCAGGCUGGGCAGAGCUCUCCAGGAGGGACUGUGCCAGCCCCCCCCCGUGUCCCCCUUCUCAGGCUAUGAUGGCAGGGAGGAGACCUGCCAUCUGCCGGCCCAGAGAGCUCAGAGGAGUUCCCCGGCUGAAGGCAGCAGGUGAGCAGCCUCCUGGAAGAGCACAGCCGCUGAGGGGUUUCAAGCGGAGUGGACAGCAUUGGGGUUGGGCCACUGAAGCAGCCUGGGGUUGGAAGGACACAGACAAGAGCUGGGGUACCAAGAAGCAGCACAAA
Long non-coding RNA from Hipposideros armiger (great roundleaf bat), 1143 nucleotides. RefSeq lists it as uncharacterized. The record is from RefSeq and is a predicted model, not a curated record. NCBI's taxonomy places the organism in Eukaryota, Metazoa, Chordata, Mammalia, Chiroptera, Hipposideridae. The transcript has 4 exons.